GUGCGGGAAAUAAACUGCUCACUCAACUGCAGCGGCACUGAACAAUCACAUCAUUUGGCCACUUAAUUGUCGCCAUAUGUGGUCCAGCACCAGAAUACGUUAAGUGAUAUUGACAAUGAAUACUAAUGUCAUGCAGUAUAAGUGAAUCUGCUCAUGCUGCGUGAAGUAAAGUAAUUUCCAAGCGAUUUGCGUCAUCAAACAAAUUGCCCGAUUCCUGAUUAGAAGGGAAAAAAAACAGUGAAAACGAUAUUUUAAUGAGAUUUAUCUCCACGCAUCGAUGUGUACCAUCGUGGCGCAUGCAUCCAACUCCGGGUCGGUGCAUCAAUGAGAGACGUUCGUACGUGAGACCACCACGAGCGAUUUGCCCGCGAGGUUGGCUUGCACCAGGCAGUACAGCAGUGCUCAGCACAGCAAUAGAAGCAGCAGCAGCAGCACAAUGUUGGCUGCCCACAGGAUUAGUAGCCAGGAACCUCCUUCUCACGCAGCCAAGAGUCUGCGUCUCCCCGGGCCGGGCCAGGGGCAGGGCGCGCGGAGCACCGCACUAAGCCGACUCGGCUGCUUAAACAGCGACAACUGCUGCCGCUGCCGCCGCUGCUGCUGCUGCUGCUGGUAAUGUGGCCGCCUCUUGGAUGAUGAAGGCGGCGAUCGUGCGAGCACCAUCUGUUAACAAGCGGCCACUCCCGCAUGGGAAUAAUAACGCGGCUGCACACACACACACAACGCGCACACACACACAAUGCGCACGCACACACAAUGCGCACACACAACGCACACACACACAAUGCGCACACACACACACAACGCACACACACACCUUGCACACACACACACCUUGCACACACCUCGCACACACACACAACGCACACACACACCUUGCACACACACACAACGCGCACACACACCUCGCACACACCUCGCACACACACGCGCGCGCGCGCGCCCUGCACACACGUGCUUUGCACACACACAGACAAAGAUCCCCCCGCGCCCUGUAUAGGCUUAACAGACUGUUGGGGCAAGUGCUGUUAGUGAGUGGCAAAACCACGGGGUGGUUUGGCCAAACAAACAAAACAACGCGCGCAGCCGCCUUUGUCUCCCCCGGUGGCAAUGUGAGCACCUCGCACGAGCUACCCGUGAGAGGUCGAGGCGACCUCGGGACAGGCCCGUGACCGGUUCUGAUAAUCGUCACAGGUGUUGGUGGUCGUGAGCGGGAAUCGAACUUGGGUGGCCGGGUUUGUAGAGCAGCGCGCCCACCACUGCGUCACAGCUCCCCAUUGUGUAAGGUACACACACACGCACACGUACAUGUGGCAAAUCCUACUAAUUACAUGACUUGAAAAUUACUCCGCAAUUUGCAGA
This is a long non-coding RNA of Lethenteron reissneri (Far Eastern brook lamprey), 1359 nucleotides long. RefSeq lists it as uncharacterized. The record is from RefSeq and is a predicted model, not a curated record. Lineage: Eukaryota; Metazoa; Chordata; Hyperoartia; Petromyzontiformes; Petromyzontidae.